Molecule: ribosomal RNA, 402 nt
Filed under: uncultured Hyphomicrobiales bacterium
Lineage: Bacteria; Pseudomonadati; Pseudomonadota; Alphaproteobacteria; Hyphomicrobiales
Description: uncultured Rhizobiales bacterium partial 16S ribosomal RNA
Rfam family: Bacterial small subunit ribosomal RNA
Source: RNAcentral
UGGGGAAUAUUGGACAAUGGGGGCAACCCUGAUCCAGCCAUGCCGCGUGAGUGAUGAAGGCCCUAGGGUUGUAAAGCUCUUUCGGCGGGGACGAUAAUGACGGUACCCGCAGAAGAAGCCCCGGCUAACUUCGUGCCAGCAGCCGCGGUAAUACGAAGGGGGCUAGCGUUGCUCGGAAUCACUGGGCGUAAAGCGCACGUAGGCGGAUCUUUAAGUCAGGGGUGAAAUCCCAAGGCUCAACCUUGGAACUGCCUUUGAUACUGGGGAUCUCGAGUCCGGAAGAGGUUGGUGGAACUCCGAGUGUAGAGGUGAAAUUCGUAGAUAUUCGGAAGAACACCAGUGGCGAAGGCGGCCAACUGGUCCGGCACUGACGCUGAGGUGCGAAAGCGUGGGGAGCAAACA